RNAcentral lists this ribosomal RNA (253 nucleotides) under uncultured bacterium. RNAcentral describes it as "partial 16S ribosomal RNA". It matches the Rfam family "Bacterial small subunit ribosomal RNA", at positions 524 to 776 of the family's 1533-position model. The record is from RNAcentral.
GACGUAGGGGGCAAGCGUUGUCCGGAAUCAUUGGGCGUAAAGCGCUCGUAGGUGGAUCGGUAAGUCUGCAAAGAAAGACCCGGGCUCAACUCGGGGAACGGUGUGGAUACUACCGAUCUUGAGGCAAUCAGAGGAUGAUGGAAUUCCCGGUGUAGCGGUGAAAUGCGUAGAUAUCAGGAGGAACACCGGUGGCGAAGGCGGGUCUCUGGGCCGUAACUGACGCUGAGGAGCGAAAGCGUGGGGAGCGAACAGG